Molecule: unclassified non-coding RNA, 28 nt
Filed under: Mus musculus (house mouse)
Lineage: Eukaryota; Metazoa; Chordata; Mammalia; Rodentia; Muridae
Description: oocyte_clustered_small_RNA13599
Source: RNAcentral
UGUACAGACUGAGCGGGCUGUGUUUAGU